GACGAACGCUGGCGGCGUGCCUAAUACAUGCAAGUCGAGCGGAGUUUUGAUGGAAGCUUGCUUCCAUCAUUGCUUAGCGGCGGACGGGUGAGUAACACGUAGGCAACCUACCCUCUAGACUGGGAUAACUACCGGAAACGGUAGCUAAUACCGGAUAAUUUCUUUCCCUCCUGGGGAGAGAAUGAAAGGCGGAGCAAUCUGCCACUAAAGGAUGGGCCUGCGGCGCAUUAGCUAGUUGGUGGGGUAACGGCCCACCAAGGCGACGAUGCGUAGCCGACCUGAGAGGGUGAACGGCCACACUGGGACUGAGACACGGCCCAGACUCCUACGGGAGGCAG
RNAcentral lists this ribosomal RNA (338 nucleotides) under uncultured Bacillota bacterium. RNAcentral describes it as "bacterial SSU rRNA". It matches the Rfam family "Bacterial small subunit ribosomal RNA", at positions 28 to 351 of the family's 1533-position model. The record is from RNAcentral. Lineage: Bacteria; Bacillati; Bacillota.